GAGAAAUACGGAUUAGGAGUCAAUGACAGUGACAUUGAUAGUGACGAACCAGCCCCACCCUUGCCAACCCUUCUCCAAGCCACCGAGACCCUGGGUGCGUUCACAAGAUUUGUGGAUUCGAGAGAUGGAGGGCGGCUGUUACAAGCACUUGUCAUGCAUCAAGAUGUCCGGGAUAGAUAUACUCCGUAAGGCUUUCCGCCGAUCGAGAGGGAUCGACCCUGACAUGCCGUCUGUGAAUCUGGACUUUUGACACCUGAGUGUUUUGGGAGAGUGACAUGCCGCCCGUGAAUCUGGACUUUUGACAUCUGAGUGUUUUGGGAGAGUGACAUGCCGCCCGUGAAUCUGGACUUUUGACAUCUGAGUGUUUUGGGAGAGUGACAUGCCUCCCGUGAAUCGGGACUUUUGACAUCCGAGUAUUCAGGGAGAGUGACAUGCCGCCCGUGAAUCUGGACUCUUGACAUCUGAGUGUUUAGGGAGAGUGACAUGCCCCAUCCAUUAAGGCUGUCCCAACCGAUCAACAUAGACCAUACCGGCAGGCCGCCUACUGUGUAAACUGCACAGGAUAAAGUAAAUAUGCGUUGGAUGUAGUUGGUCUGUAUAUUCCAUUUAAUGUAUAUAUUAUAUCAUAUGAACUGUUGUGUGUUUCUUUAGAAAGGCCUUUGUAAUGGUGUUACAUUUGGAGCGUUGAUGUGAGUGUAUGUGAAUGGUGAGGUAUGAGGUACGUACUUGGCUAAGUAGGG
Molecule: long non-coding RNA, 740 nt
Filed under: Haliotis rubra (blacklip abalone)
Lineage: Eukaryota; Metazoa; Mollusca; Gastropoda; Lepetellida; Haliotidae
Description: uncharacterized LOC124277615
Source: RNAcentral